This is a non-coding RNA of Amborella trichopoda, 1890 nucleotides long. Lineage: Eukaryota; Viridiplantae; Streptophyta; Magnoliopsida; Amborellales; Amborellaceae. The record is from RefSeq and is a predicted model, not a curated record.
UAUUUCCACUCGUCUUUCACAACUUUCUUUUUAGUAGUUGCUUAGGUUCCAUAGCUUUAGGAGCUAAAAAAGAAAAUCAAAUAUCUUAACGGCUACAACUUUCUUUCUAGUAGCUGAUUCGCUUUAGGAGCAAUUUGGUUGCUGUAGAACCACAUAACUUGCCCCAAAGCUAUUGCAUUGAUAGGAAGGGCUUGACUUUCCUCGUCUUUUGGUUCAUCUCCUUCCCAAUUCUCAUUUGUCCAAUCUUACAAACCCUACUUUUUCGUCGCUGGUUAUGCGUCGACACCUACUGAUUUGUCUCCAUGAUGUUAUCGAUUCUCUUCCGGUCGCUGACAGAGCAAGCUGUGUCACCCCAACCCUGGCUUGUGAGGUUUGGGAUGGUGCUUCGUGGGAGUGACGGUGAGAAGCCUAGGUUGGUAUGAGGUCGGAGAGGAUGAGGCCUUUUGAAGUUUCUUUAUGAGGUCAGUAGUUGGUGGAGUAAGGUCUUUGUAGUUCAAAGUUAUGUUGUGUUUUAGGAGUCUAGGUUGGUUUUUGUUGAAAUUAAGGAGUUGUUCUCUAUCUUUUUUUAUAUAUAUGUAUAUUUAUAUACUUAUUAGCGGUUAAAAAAAAAGGGGCGUAAUUAUAGAAAAUAUACCUUUUUUUUGGAUUAUUGAAAAAAAAACUCAAACUUUUGAAAACCUCGUCCAAACACCUUUUCUUCACUGUUUUCAUUUUUUUUACCAAAGUAAAUUAUACGGUAGUCUUAGAUCCAUGAAGACACGAUAGACACACUACUGUAAUAAUCAUAGGUGGUUCAAUGUUUUUAGGCAUGGCACUUAAAUAGCUGUGAUGGUCUUUAAGGGUUCUUAUGCCCAUUGAUGAAGGAAACAAUAACGAUAUUUAUAUAACUGUGACUAUAUUUGUAUACAAAGGCACUUGAAAUACGGUGAGACCAUCAUGGAAAUCUCACUUGUAAUAAAAUCCCUUAUUCCAUUUGAAAUAGUCGUUCUUCCUCUCCGACGCUUUUUCUCACUAGGGCUCCCUCUACCCUAACCGUUCUUCCUCUCUGGUGCUAUCUCUCACUGGAGCUCCCUUUACCCUAACUAUUCUUACUAUAUGACGCUCUCUCGCAUUGGGGAUCCCUCUCCCUCUUCUGCCUCAUUGGACAUUCUCUGAUCAGACAUUCUUUAUUGAGGACCAUGGCCCAAGGUGUAUGCUGGCUUGGAGGUCAUCGUAUUCCCACAUCUCUCACAAGACAAAAUAACUGCAUAUCACAGAAGGAACGAGUUAAGGUCCUCAAGAUUGAUGAGAAGCCCAGUUCACUAAGAUUAUGGCCUCUAACUAAUAAUGUUCAAAUAGACUUGAUCACGAGAUCAGGGUUGUAUCCUCUAACCCUAGUUGCUAUGACUCAAAAGGACCUUUGCACAGUGGAUGUUAUUGUCAAGAGGUGGCGCGCAAAGACGAACACCUGGUACUUUAAUGUAGACGUAGAAGAGAUGAUUCUUACUCUUGAAGGUGCAUGCAUAAUUCUCCUAUAAGGGUGAUAGGUACCCUUAUAACUUUUAGGAGAGUGGACAACUAUGGUGGCUAUAUCGUCCAGAUGCUAGGAGAACUCCUUGAAGGUACCAACUAUUCCAUUAUUCGGCUUACAUGGUUGAGGAAGAAGUUUAGUCUGCCACACAACUGUAGCCGGCACACCCUUAUACAACAUUCCCGUGCCUACCUCUUGUAUCUAGUUAACUGCACCAUUUUUGCAGAUUCAAUAUACCGUAUUGUAUCUACAUUAAAUUUGCAACUUUUUGAGGAUGUCGAUGCUGUUGGUCGGUAUGCAUGGGGUGCAGCCGCCCUAAUUUAUUUGUUUUGAUCAUUGUUAAAAGAUUAUUCAUCUUGAUCACUAACUCCCAAGUGGAU